UGCAAGUCGAACGAACAACUUCGGUCGUGAGUGGCAAACGGGAGAGUAACACCUUGGUAACCUACCUCUAAGAUGGGCAAAACAUGGAGAAAUCCGUGCUAAUUCCCAAUGUGCUGGUUCUACAUAAGUAGAAUUAGUAAAGCUCCGACGCUUAGAGAGGGGCCUAGGUUCCAUCAGCUUGUUGGUGAGGUAAAAGCUCACCAAGGCUACGACGGAUAGCGGGUGUGAGAGCAUGACCCGUCUCACAGGGACUGAGACACUGCCCUGACUCC
RNAcentral lists this ribosomal RNA (272 nucleotides) under uncultured bacterium. RNAcentral's name for it is "partial 16S ribosomal RNA". It matches the Rfam family "Bacterial small subunit ribosomal RNA", at positions 56 to 339 of the family's 1533-position model. The record is from RNAcentral.